RNAcentral lists this ribosomal RNA (792 nucleotides) under uncultured bacterium. RNAcentral describes it as "bacterial SSU rRNA". It matches the Rfam family "Bacterial small subunit ribosomal RNA", at positions 9 to 796 of the family's 1533-position model. The record is from RNAcentral.
GAGUUUGAUCCUGCUUCAGAUUGGACGCCGGCGGCAGGCCUAACACAUGCAAGUCGAGCGGAUGAAGGGAGCUUGCUCUCUGAUUCAGCGGCGGACGGGUGAGUAAUGCCUAGGAAUCUGCCUAGUAGUGGGGGACAACGUUUCGAAAGGAACGCUAAUACCGCAUACGUCCUACGGGAGAAAGUGGGGGAUCUUCGGACCUCACGCUAUUAGAUGAGCCUAGGUCGGAUUAGCUAGUUGGUAGGGUAACGGCCUACCAAGGCGACGAUCCGUAACUGGUCUGAGAGGAUGAUCAGUCACACUGGAACUGAGACACGGUCCAGACUCCUACGGGAGGCAGCAGUGGGGAAUAUUGGACAAUGGGCGAAAGCCUGAUCCAGCCAUGCCGCGUGUGUGAAGAAGGCCCUCGGGUCGUAAAGCACUUUAAGUUGGGAGGAAGGGCUCAUAGCGAAUACCUGUGAGUUUUGACGUUACCAACAGAAUAAGCACCGGCUAACUUCGUGCCAGCAGCCGCGGUAAUACGAAGGGUGCAAGCGUUAAUCGGAAUUACUGGGCGUAAAGCGCGCGUAGGUGGCUUGAUAAGUUGGAUGUGAAAUCCCCGGGCUCAACCUGGGAACUGCAUCCAAAACUGUCUGGCUAGAGUGUGGUAGAGGGUAGUGGAAUUUCCAGUGUAGCGGUGACCUGCGUAGAUAUUGGAAGGCACACCAGUGGCGAAGGCGACGACCUGGACUAACACUGACACUGAGGUGCGAAAGCUUGGGGAGCAAACAGGAUGAGGAACCCGGGAAGACC